RNAcentral lists this ribosomal RNA (1000 nucleotides) under Vibrio vulnificus. RNAcentral's name for it is "bacterial SSU rRNA". It matches the Rfam family "Bacterial small subunit ribosomal RNA", at positions 375 to 1399 of the family's 1533-position model. Lineage: Bacteria; Pseudomonadati; Pseudomonadota; Gammaproteobacteria; Vibrionales; Vibrionaceae. The record is from RNAcentral.
UUGAAUAGCUAAUCUACUUCGGUAAGAGAGGAAGGUUGUUAGUUUUAUAGCUUCUUUCAUUGAACGUUCCCAAAAAGCAGAAGCCCUGUCUAACUUCGUUCUCCGCAGCGGCGAUAAUUACGGAGGGUGUGAGCGUUAAUUAGAAUUACGAGAGUAUAGCUCAUGCAGGUGGUUUAUUAAGUCAGAUGUAAAAGCCUCGUCUUCAUCCUGGGAAUUACAUGUGAUAGCUGGCAACGAGUGUGCUGUAGAGGGGGGGGAGAUUACAGGUGACGCUGUGAAAUGCGUAGAUAUCUGGAGGAAUACCGGUGGGAAAGGCGCCCCCCGUGGACAUAUACUGACACUGAGAUGAGAGAGCGUGGGGAGCACACGGGAUCAGAUCCCCUGAUAGUACACCCUGUAAAAGAUGUCCACUUAGACGGUUGUCGCCGUGAACUGUGGCUUUCGGAGCCAACGUGUUAUGUACCCCGCCUGGAGAGUACGGUCACAAGAUUAAAACUCAAAUGAAUUGGCGGGGGCCCGCACAAGCGGUGGCGCAUGUGGUUUAAUUCGAUGCAACGCGAAGAACCUCCCCUUCUUUUAACAUCCAGAGAAGCCAGCGGAGACGCAGGUGCGCUUUGGGGAUCUCUGACACAGGUGCUGCAGUGCUGUUCUCAGCUCGUGUUGAGAAAUGUUGGGUUAAGUCCCGCAACGAGCGCAACCCUUAUCUUUGUUUGCCAGCGAGUAAUGGCGGGAACUCCAGGGAGACUGCCGGUGAUAAACCGGAGGAAGGUGGGGACGACGUCAAGUCAUCAUGCCCCUUACGAGUAGGGCUACACACGUGCUACAAUGGCGCAUACAGAGGGCGGCCAACUUGCGAAAGUGAGCGAAUCCCAAAAAGUGCGUCGUAGUCCGGAUUGGAGUCUGCAACUCGACUCCAUGAAGUCGGAAUCGCUAGUAAUCGGGGAUCGAGAAUCAACACGGGUAAAUUCUGUUCCGCGGGGCUUUUUGAUACCCCCCCCCU